UGGCUCAGACCCUGCCGACCUCUACACCCCAGCUGACCACGGGGAGCUCUGCACAUGCCAGAUGCUGGGGCUUCCCUGGCCCCGACUGGCUGGCCACAGGCAGGGCUGGCAGGAGAAGCGACCGCCACCCUGCGUGUCCCAGGAGGGCAGGGACAGUUGAGGGCGCCCAUAGGAACGCUGCACAGUGGAGAACGCAUGCAGGCCUCCAACCAUGGCCAGGGCCCUGCGGCGUGGCCCCGUGUCUACCUGUAAAGGUGUGGGGCAGACUUGAGGAGCUCUAACCCAGCACCUAGGACUUCAACUUCAGCCUCGUACCUUGCUGCCAUUUAGGCCUUUCCUGCAGUCGUAUAACUGACAGUUAGACAGGUCGGGGCUGGAGGCUCCUCUCGGAGCGCAGGCAGCAGCUCUGCCACGGGAGGAGCCGGCUCCGGCCCCAGAACCGGCCACUUGUAGAUGCUCGGGGCAGACAGUCAAGACUAGGGGAAGUUUGUGAACUGGGUGACAUCUGGUUGGUCCCCUGAAAUCUGCCACAUUGGGCAGUUACACCACAGCCAUGGGCAAAUGCUGCAAACCAGAACCCCCUCCCCAAGCUGGAUGCUCAAUGUUGUCAGCACCCUGCGUGGCAACCUCACUUCCUCCAACCCCACCCCAGAGUGGAAAGGGCUUCAAACUACACGCAACACAGCUCACCCACCAAGCAUGCCAGCACGAGAGAACAUGCCUCAACUCCAGGGGCGCCCACCUGUGCCAGGGUCUCAUCCAGGGAAGUCCCUCACACCCACCCUCUUCUACGCCCUCCUGAGGUGAGUGGGUGCCUCCAAGCCUCUCCAUCUCACCGACCCGGUGCUCACAGCCCCAGGCUGCAACCCUGGAGGGGAGGGCAGCUGUGCCGGUUUCUGUGUCCUCACCCCAGACAGACAGCUGCUGUGCUGGGCACAAGCCUGGGGUCGCCCCAAAUGCCUCUCUUCCUGCUGCCCCACGCCAAAGCGUGGCAGCACUGCCCCUCGCCACCACCACUUGCUAGGAUUUCCAUGAAGCCCUCCCAGCAGGGCUCCCUGCUCUGUCCCGCAAGGACUGCCUAGCCCGCACCGCAGGGUGAUCCUGUUAAAACCAAGUCGGCUUAAGUCACUGGUUGGCUCAAAACCUCCCAGGGGCUCCAUGUGACUCACAGUGAAAGCGAGUCCUGCCCCACCCUGGUUGGUGGGGCCUGGGGUGACCCAGGGUGACCGAGUCCUGAGACCUGUGUCCUGUCUCCUGUGACUUGCGGCCCUCCCUCAAGGCCUGGACAGCAGCAGGCUCCUGCCCUUCCAAGGCCUCCAGGUACCUCCCAGAACACCCUUCCUGCUGGGCCCCCAGGCAGCACAGACGCUGGGGCCAGCCACACAACCUGGUCCUUCCACUUCCCCAUGAGGCUCCUGAGGGUGGAGGAGUCAGGCACAGAGAGAGCUCACACCAGUGAUGGGCACCAAGCACCACACGCAGCUCCGCUGAGACUGCCGGGUAGCACCCUGACUGACGGCCCAGGCUGUGCUGCUGCUGCCUCCCAGGGCCCAGAUGUCGGCUCCCAGAUGUCAGUCAGGUGGGGACAUUCCUAGUAUCCACUGCUGCUGCACAGGCCCAGGGGCCAGGAAAUGGGGCUGAAACUGACCUUUGGGGAUGUGGGGGUGGUCAGGGCACAAAGGAAGGCUCCCAGGCUGCAGGCCAGCUUCCUCCAAGCAUGAGGAUGGACAGUCACAGCUCAACAUGGGGGCCUGCUUAUGCUGCCGUCGGGACCCCACGCCUGGCCAGAUCAGGCCCUCUAAGCCAUCCACUUCCAACCACCUGACUACUGUUCCAAACCGGAGGCUGAGCAGGAGCCCAGCUCCAGCCAUGGACACCGGAGUGCAUGCCUCGUCCUGGGUGGGGAGGGCAGCCCCGCCCAGCCAUGGACUGUGAGCUUGAGCAAGGCAGAGGGAGGGGCGCCCUGGGCUCUGGUUGGCACCAGCCCAUGAGCCACAGCAGAGCCGCCCAAGGCCCAGCCCAGGAGCCCUCUUGCUGCUGCCAGGGAAAUCCUGACCAAUGUGGUUAAAGCUCUGGGGCUGCACCUGGUGCCAGCAUGCACUCACUGAAUGCCAGUGGUCACUACAGGUCCUGAGGGUGCAGCUUGCCUCCAGCUCCGCUACCUGGCAGAAACACACUGACCCCAACAAGACCUGGAAGGCUGAGGGUGCAGUGUAAAAAGCCUCUGGCACACACUGGCAGGCGACUGCCCCACCCUCGGUGGCGAGGCAUGGUGACCUCACCUCUCCUCUCCUGGAACACAAACCCUGCCCUCUGAGACACCUACACCCCACACACUCAGAUUUUUGCAAAAACUCAAGGACAACACGAUGCCAUGGUGCUGGGACCCACCACCUGACAAGGACCACGCCUGGCAGGACGAGACCAGGAGGCGACAGUCAGGCAGAGAAGAUGAAGAAACCAGAAGGCAUCUGUGCAAGGGAGCCCCACACAGACACUGGAAAGAACCAGGGCAACCUGCAGACCAACUUGUAAGACCUCCCCUAGGGCGACGGAAAUGAGAUGAGGCAAACGGCUUCCCAACCAGAGCCCAUGCACCUUCCACGUCUGUGCAGGGAGCUUGGGGCCACAUCCCAAGAUAGGAAAGACAACUGAGGCUUCCACAAAGAAAUUACAAUGAAACAGACACUGGCCAGGCCAGCUGAAAAUCAGUGAUGGACUACGGUCCAAAUCGACAUGGAGGUUCCAACAAGGACGGUGGUGGGGUCACCCUACCCCAGCCUCCGAGUGCCCCAGAGGACGCACAAGCAGGACAGCCACCCUGUUGCAGUGCGGUGCUUUCACACCAUGUUCACCCCACCUCCGCCCUCUGGCCCAGACGUCGGUGGCUCCUCUGCAGGGUAAGGUGAGGUGAGGUGAGGUAGGAGCAGACAGUGGAGAAACACCACAAACAGCACAGGUGGUCGGCCAGGGCCACGAGCCCUUCAGCUCACCGAUGCCAAGACCCCGCAAUCCCCACAACAAACCUGCAAGGUCAGAAUGAUUGCGCACAUGUACAGACGACUAAGCUGAGGCCCCUUCCUCCUUCACCUCUGGAGUGCCACCUGAGCGCAGAGGCUUUGGGACACAAAGCACUCAGCAGUCGGAAGUGGAGGCACAGCCUAGGAUCAAGACCCUGGGCUUCCUGUCCCAGGCUCCUCAACCUGCAGGCGGCCACACAGCAAGAGGACCCUGGGAAGUUAAAGAACGAGGCGCUCCUGCUUCCCCCACCCCCAAUGGCCAGCAAGGACACAAAGGCAGCCAAGGGCAGGGCCAGCUGCCAGCCACAAGGGCCCUCCAGAACCCAAGGUCCAGUGGAGACUCCGAAAGGGCUGAUUGCAGGGCCCCCAAGGGGUCCGCACACCAGACACAGAGGCCAUGCCGAAAGGCGGUAAGGGGCCCCCAUGGGGUCCGCACACCAGACACAGAGGCCAUGCCAAAAGGCGGUAAGGAGCCCCCAUGGGGGUCCGCAUACCAGACACAGAGGCCCUGCAAGAGGGAGGCAUGGAGCGCCCGCGGUGUCGGCACACCAGGAUUCACAGCUCGGCUCUCCACCCUGGCUGACCUCGCUGUGAAGAGAUGGUUUGUGCUGAGAGCUUAGCAAGGCCAUCGUCUACCGAGUGCUUCCCACCAUAGCCCAUGGGCAGGCAUGAGAGUCAUGCCUCCCACAGGCCAUAGCUUCACUCAUGCAAGGACGUUCUGGGGGCUGGGACGUCCUAGCCAGUGGCUAGAACUGGGUGUGACCAUGGGCCCCCUUGGCUGGGGAGAAAAGGAGGUGCCCCUAGAUCCCAAGUCCCCUGGGGCCGCAGCAAAGGGAGGAGGACCUUGCAUCACUCCAGGGUGCCACGUAGACGAACAGAGGUAACACUGGGAGCAUGGCUGGCAGUGUUGGACAUUCAGAACACGUCUGCCCAAAACAAACAUGGCCUUCAUUUCUCCCAGCUCCCAGAAACAAGUAAACAGAAGGAUCAUGUCUGGACACCAGGGACCAGCUCCUGUUACAUCCCUGUCCCCCCCAGGCCGGAGCCUGACCAUUCCGUGUCACCUGCCUCUACUCCUGUAGUGACUGUCAACUUUCUGGAUUUCAGAAAGCCAAACCCGCGAGGGAAGCCUUUCCCCGGGGGGUGGAGGUGUCUCUCCUACACACACCCCUACCCCAGGGUCUGAGAUGACAUCCCAAAUCAAACCUGGUAUUCUGCAGAGAUACACAAAGGUUCAAACUACAGACAGCCUUGUAUCAGCUAUAAAGGGGGGCCAGAUUUUGCUGCAAAAGAAAAACCCCGGUAUUCCCUCGCUCAGCCCACUGUGUCACCAAGAGGGAGGGUGGGCGGGUGGCCGAAGAGGGCUCCAUUUUAUAGUCUAGGAAGGGGUGGCCUGGGACCUACAGCUGGUGGGGCAGUGGCACUGGAUCUGAAGCAAAGCUGGGCACUGGAGGGCUGUGCCUUGGGCCGGUGUGCUGGCAGCGCCUGCUGGAGGAGCCAAGGGGCACUGAUUCAACACUGACUGUAUUUCCGGAACCAGAGUUAGUAUCGCUGGUGUGGUGGCAUUGUGGUUAUAACCUUUCGAAAGUCUUCAUCUUUCAGAGAUUUGGACUGAAAGUUCUAUGAAUGAAAUGUGUCUGGAAUUUGCUUCAUGAUAACGUCGGGGGUGAAAAUAAGUGGGGUCUGGAGAAACGGGCCAGCCCAGAGCUGCCCUCCCCCGCAGAAGCUGCUCAGAGGGAAGAGGGUGCACCUCCCUUCUCCCCGGGCCCCCAGCACCCCAUUCCUCAAUACACACUCUGCAUCCUGCAUCCUCACAGCAACUGUGGGGUCCAGGGUUCUGCCUUGCACCCAUUCUCCACCUUCAUGCAAUGGGGAAGAAGCCGAGGGGACUCCUGUGAGGAAGUGGGACAGGGGUGGGGCAGAUGGACUCAGGUGGAGUGACUCGGGCUGGAGGAAGGCAGCGGUGCCAGAGACCCCAGUGCCUUAAAGUCUAGACACGAGACACACAAAACCUUCGUACCGCAAUCCCUCCUUCACCCCUCGCAGCUGCCCUGUGGGAAUGUGCAGCAGAAGGGGGUGUGGUCUCCUGGGGGUAAACCCUUGCUCCUUUUCUUGAGGACCCUGGACACUGGUGGGGCUGGAAGCCUGUCUGCUAAAAUGUGAACCUGAAGGGUCUGUGAGCAUGUACAGUGCAGGAAGAACUCAUUUCACCCCUCAGCCCUCCUGUGGUGAAGGUGCUCCCACACAGCCUGCUGGCAGCCGCCUCGCUCUGGGGGCUCUUUGCUGUGCGGGCAAGGCCCCCUCAGGAAGGCAGCUCGGCCAUUAGCUGCCUGUCACAGCAGCAGCAGCCUCGUCCUCAGCAAACGCACUCCAUCCCUGGGUCCAUGGCAGGGAAGCUGUGGGUCCUUGGGGGACAGGCCUGGGGAGCCAGAUGUGCCACUGCUGCUCUCCCCUGGGCACUGCAGGACAGGGAUGGAGCUCUGUCUCCCAGAGGAGGAGGCGGAGGCUCAGAGACCCUCCCUGGGGCCCACCUCCCCGGGUCUCCCACUCAGCUGCCCACAAAACCCAUGCUAGAGAGCCCACAGGCACUGCCUGCCGGGCCCAGCAGAGACAGAGGCAGAGGCCAACCUUGCCAGUCGGGUAAAAGUCGGAGUGAGCAGGCAGCCUGCCUUAGACACAAGAGGAUCCGAAACUGCCCAGAGAGGAAACUCAGACAAACCACAAAAGUCCUCGAACACCAAGCGAAAACCCAGCAGUGAAUGGGUCUGGUGAAAUCCUCAAGAAGGACCCAGGCCACGCACAGUGGCUCAGGCCGGUGACCCCAGCACCUUGGGAGCGGCAGGAGGAUCCCCUGAAGCCAGGAGUUCGAGACCAGCCUGGGCAACAUAGUAAGACCCUGAUUCUACAAAAAUUUAAAAAAAUUAGCCGGGCCUGGUGGCGCACCUAGAAUCCCAGCUAUUCAGGAGGCUGAGGUGGGAGGAUCACUUGAGCCUGGGAGUUUGAGGACGCAGUCAGCUGUGAUCGCACUGCUGCACUCCAGCCUGGAUCCCAGACCAAGACCCUGACACACACACACACACACACACACACCCCACACACAUGCGCGCGAUCUGGAAUGCCAUGGAGAUUUCCAAAGUAGCCAGCGGGCAGGGCAGUGGCCAGGCUCCCCUAACACUGACUAGCCCCCUUCCUGGGUCCCACUCAUGCCCUAUCCAGGAGGGGCUCUGUGCUGGACAUGGAAGGAAUGUUGGUGAGGUGGCCCGAAUCCUACCUAUCCUCACCCUUGCUGUGUGGCCCCAGGCAGGCCCACCUCUGGCCCUGAAGCUGUGGGUGGCCCCCUGAACUCUUCCCAAGGUCCCUGGACUCUGCCUUCCUCUCCAUAGGGCACAGGAGGACCUGAAUGAAAAGCAGAAAUUCAGCCCCCUUUAGGCUGGCCCGGCCCAGAAUUUAUCAGAAAAGAUGCUGAGUCCAGGGCUGUUUCAGGGCUGUGGACAAACGGGGAGGAAAUGGGAAUCUGUCCAGUUGCCACCAAAGAAAACACCCAGAAAAGCCAGUAGCAGCCUUCUUGACCCCUCCUGCCAUUCCAUGGCCCUCCUGGGGAGCAGGGACCCAGAGGGGCAGGAGCAGGCAUGCCGCCUGGCCAGCACAGCAGCCCAGCCUUCAGGCACUCCACAGAGGGAAGACAGAGGGGUGUUGCCCCCAACGCCACACCCUGGGGCAAACCAGCCAAGGGGCAGUGGCUGGACCAUGGGGGCAUCUCUAGCCUGGCCUGGCCCCAGAGCAAAAAGUCCUUAUUUGGGGUCUAGGGAUGGGGAGUCCCAGCUUUCAGCAAACAGGCAGGGUUGGGAGGAUGGCUUACCAAGGCCAUUCCGGCUAUAGCAUGGGUCGGGAGGACCAGUGGCAGGGAGGGGCAGGGCUACACAGCUCUGCAGGGGCUCAACCAGGCCUGCCAGCUUAAGGGUGGGAGACAGGAGCACUGGAACCAGAGGUGGAGGUGCUGGAGGAAGCGAGGGGAGGCCUUUCCCAGGGGCUCCCCAUUCCCCAUGGGUCUCCAGCCCUGGGAUUUCCAUAGCUCUGGGCCUCUGUACUCAGGUCCCUGUGUCCCUGACUGGGUGGCCCCCACUGGGGCACUCCAGCCCGUCUCCUGGACUCUGCCCUGCGUCAGUGGGGGUCAGAUGAGCCCCAUCUUCCGUAAGUGGAGGGGAUGCUCACAGGUGAAGGGGCACAACGUCGCCCAGGCAGAGAAGGCCAGAGCCAGCUUGAACAAAGCUAGACAUCCACGCCAGACUCACCGCCAGCACCCCACGGUCCCAGAAUUCUCAGGAUAAUGCUGGGAGCAGUGCUGUGAUCGGCUGUGGCAGGAAGGAGCUGAGUCUGUGAGAAGGGAUCCCAGCCUGCUGCCCCCACAGCCCCAUCUAACCCGGCCAACCUAGCACCUGUCCCCAGGCGGCCAGAGGGGCCUCCCCGGCCCACGUGGUGACCAGCGGCCACCCUCCAGGACUCGGGAAACUGGAUCUGUCAGGGCAGGGCUGCCUUCAGUGACAGACGGAGCCAACUGCUUCCUUCUAUGGAGCCAGGGGAGAAGUCGGGGGUUGAGGGCCCCCUGUAGCCCUGAAGGAGCCCUGCGGAGGGCAGCUGGGCAUCGUGGGCCCCACCCAAGCAGGCAUGGCCAGCCCUGGCGCCUACUCCCCAGGGGUAUCUGCCCAGUGCCGUGAGCCCCCCAUGCACAGCGCACCUGCUCUCUUGCAGCUGCCUGGCCGCCUGGAGGGUCCGGCUCUACAGGCCCAGCCCUGUCCCGGGGCGCUUCAGCGGACUGGGGGGGCUAUCCUGAGGCAUGGCCCCAGACACCCUGGGCAGGUGCAGCUGCCAGCACUGCCUCUCCCAUGACUGUCCCCUGCACCCCAGUUCUCCCUACUCUGCACCCACCAGUGCCUUCUAGACCUAAGACCUCAUAUGCCUCCUGCUUUCUGAACCCAGGGCCUGUGCUUCUCCAUGGCCCCAUGGCCCCGGGAGAGCGGCCUCUCUGAAGGUUUCCCUUCCUGCCAUGACGCCCCCACAGCCUUCUGGUCAAAACCCGUCACCUCUUCCAAGCUCCAUCCCCACUCGCCUCUCUACCCACUCCUCAAAUAGAGAGGACUCAAAGGAUGCUCUACCCCCGCGGGACCCUCAUGAGGGACGUGAGGAGGCCCGACCCUCCGCACACGCUGGGAACAAGGAAGCUGGCCCCACAGACACCGGUCAGGCCCUCCCAACCCCAGGCCACCGCCACGUAGUCAGGGUCUCCCACGGGCCUGGGAAGGGCAGGAGAGCCACGACUCAGGCAGGGGACUCUCUUCAGAGGGGCAGUGAGUGAGGACAGCAUCUGGCCCUUUAGAGGGAAGGGGACACCGUGCUCUUAGAGGGACACAGACUCAGGGUCAGGCCCUGGUGCUCCAUACUUCCUAAAACAAAGCUGCGGCAGGCCCACCUAGCAUCCAUCUGUCUGCUCCAUCUCCUCUCAGCCGGCCUGACAAGAACCAAACUCACAAAACACCCCGGCCCCAGGAGACAAGCCUGGCCUCACUGCUGUCCCACUCAGCCAUGCCGAGCCAGGACAAGGGGCCAGCAGGGCCGCAGCUCUCAGACCAUCCCCUUGGUUAUCUCGUCUAUGUCCUCUGCCCACCCCCAACCACAAACGCCCAGGACUGCAGGAUGCCCCCAGGCCUGUUGCCAGGACAGACUGGAGGCAGAGCCAAGAGCAGAGCGCGGGCGCGCAGCACAUCUGUCUGUAAGUCCACAGCCCACGGAGCCACCGUGCUUGACCCUUGCCUCCUACCCAGCCCCUGGCACCAGCGAGGGCCUGGUCAGCAUACCCAGGGCUCUGUUCUGUGGUGUGGGCAGAUGGGGGUGGGUGGCACCCUGGACCCAAGGCUCACACAGCUGCCCCUUUGCAUAUUUUGCUCCUUGUGGGAUUGUCAGGCCAGGGCUCCAGGGACGCAUGGCACAGGGAGGGCAUCCUCUCAGCCGCUUAUAGUAGAUUCUUCCUUCUGCCACGACAGGUUAGAGCUACAACACUCGGCACUCCUGCAGGGGCCGGGCACCUCACACAGAUGCAUCUGUGCCUCAUCUCGGUCAGUGCUCACACGGAGGCUAAGGCCGUCCCGCCCCAGAGUCCCACAGCUCCCAGGUACCGACUCGGAGCCCCAGGUCCCUCACAGGUGCACUGAGGGCGCUCCCUCUGCCCCAGACUCCAGGCCUGGCCAGCAGCCGCCUCUGCAGAUCACACCCAAGUCCACCAGGCGCUAUGCAAAACGCUGCAGCUGGUGGUUAUCAAGCCACACUCAGAAAGAUCCAGCCGGCGACUCCUGAACAUCACCGCACCCUCAGCGGGACACUUUUCCAAGUGGCUGGAGAAGUUGUCUCCCAUAACACCGUGUUAACUUCUGACGAACUCAGUACCUUGGGGGCCUGUGGCAAGGAGGGGGGCGGGGGCACGUUCCAUGCCCCAUCUUCCCAACACCAGGCUCUGAAGGCCCCGCGAGGAGGCAGCCUGUGAACUGACUCUCAGGGAACAGCCACAGACUGGUGUGAGACACAGACAGCCAACAGCACGGACACGACAGGGUCCAAGCCUCCAGCCACACACACAGGUCCUGUCUCCACUGCGGGCUCAAUCAGGAGUGGCCAGAAGACUUACAAUUUAAACCACCAACACGUGAAUGGCCCAAAGUGACACUUUCCCUUUAAAAUAAGAGCUCUCGGUCAGGCAUGGUGGCUCACACCUGUAAUCUCAGCACUUUGGGAGGCUGAGAUGGAUGGAUCACCUGAGGUCAGGAGUUCAAGACCAGCCUGGCCAACAUGGCGAAACCCCAUGUUUACCAAAAAAUUAAAAAAAAAAAAAAAUAGCUGGGCGUGGUGGCGGGCACCUGUAAUCCCAGCUACUUGGGAGGCUGAGGCAGGAAGAAUUGCUUGAACCCGGGAGGCGGAGGUUGCAGUGAGGGGAAAUCACGCCAUUACACACCAGCCUGGGCACCAGAGUGAGACUCUCUCUCAAAAUAAAUAAAUAAACAAAUGAGCUCUCAAGCAUCUUGGCCGAGCAUGGUGGCUCACGCUUGUAAUCCCAGCACUUCAGGAGGCUGAGAUGGGUGGGUCACUUAUGGCCAGGAGUUUGAGACCAGCCUGGCCAACAUGGUAAAACGCCAUCUCUACUAAAAAUACAAACAAACAAAUAAGCAAGCCCUCAGGCCUCCCAGAUGGCAGGAGCCCAGGAACCGGAGCAGGGAGGUCCGGGCACAGGGACCCAUGAUUUCUGUGCCCAUGAUUUCACAGAAAGGAGAACAGGCAAAGAAAGCCCUAUGCUCCGCCACCAGCUGAGCACCUCUACAAGGUGGCAGUACCAACAAAAACACAGGAGCAAGACCAUUCUUGGCAAACGAUGACCCAAAUGCACCUGGCGCCCCAUCAUGCUUUGCCACCUGUGCAUCUCCUCUGCUCCAACAAGGGGGCGGAGCCACAGGGGUCAGGAAAGCCCAAGGCAGACCCACAAGUUCCAAAACCUUUUAUGGCAAGAAGCCUUGCAUUCUACCUUGAUUCAUCCAGUUACCUUCUAGCUUCAACCAGAUACUGGCUUCGUGAUAUAGGGGACCUGCCAGCUAGGCGUGGUGGCUCACGCCUGUAAUCCCAGCACUUUGGGAGGCCAAGGCAAGUGGAUCACGAGGUGAAGAGUUCGAGACCAGCCUGUCCAACCCAGUGAAACCCCGUCUCUACUAAAAAUACAAAAAAUUAGCUGGGCAUGGUGGCAGACGCCUGUAAUCCCAGCUACUCGGGAGGCUGAAGCAGGAGAAUUGCUAGAACCCGGGAGGUGGAGGUUGCAGUGCGCUGAGAUUGCGCCACUGCACUGCAGCCUGGGCGACACUGCGAGACUCCAUCUCAAGGAAAAAAAAAAAAAAAA
Long non-coding RNA from Pongo pygmaeus (Bornean orangutan), 10950 nucleotides. RefSeq lists it as uncharacterized. Lineage: Eukaryota; Metazoa; Chordata; Mammalia; Primates; Hominidae. The transcript is spliced from 3 exons. The record is from RefSeq and is a predicted model, not a curated record.